GGGCCCGCACAAGCAGCGGAGCAUGUGGUUUAAUUCGAAGCAACGCGAAGAACCUUACCAAGGCUUGACAUCCCCUGACGGUCGUGGAAACACGGCUUCCCUUCGGGGCAGGGAGACAGGUGGUGCAUGGUUGUCGUCAGCUCGUGUCGUGAGAUGUUGGGUUAAGUCCCGCAACGAGCGCAACCCUUACACUUAGUUACCAGCGGGUAAAGCCGGGGACUCUAGGUGGACUGCCGGGGACAACUCGGAGGAAGGUGGGGACGACGUCAAAUCAUCAUGCCCCUUAUGUCUUGGGCUACACACGUGCUACAAUGGCUACUACAAAGGGAUACGAGACCGUAAGGUGGAGUCAAACCCAAAAAAGUAGUCCCAGUUCGGAUUGUGGGCUGCAACCCGCCCACAUGAAGUCGGAGUUGCUAGUAAUCGCGAAUCAGCAUGUCGCGGUGAAUGCGUUCCCGGGCCUU
This 464-nucleotide ribosomal RNA is filed under the name uncultured bacterium. RNAcentral's name for it is "bacterial SSU rRNA". It matches the Rfam family "Bacterial small subunit ribosomal RNA", at positions 917 to 1382 of the family's 1533-position model. The record is from RNAcentral.